GGUCAUCCGGGAGGGACUCGGAGUAGAGCCGCUGCUUCUCCACGUCGAGAGGAGCCAGCUGAGGUGGUUCGGGCAUCUGGUUAGGAUGCCUCAGGCAAGUCCACCCAGGAGGAGAGCAGGAGAAAUGAAGGAGGUAGCAGGGAAGACUUUCAGUUUCACUUUGGAAAUCAUAUAAGCUGCUCCCCACUGACGCAGGGCUGCAGCAAUCAUACCCUCACUGAGGCUUCUGGACACAGCUGAUACUCGUGUCUACCGAGAAGUCACAACAAAAACAAUACAAGGAAACCAGUUCCAUCGGCAGCCAAACAUGCCCAUAUCAUAAAACUGGCGUCGCCAUGUGACUCAGAUGAGAUGAGACCAAAAUGGGAUUUUCUUCAUCAAAAUCACUUCCUGCUACUCCUGAACCGUCACCAGGGAAAAAGAGGAGAUAUUGAAAGAACUGAGAGAUGUAACAUCAUAUAAGGAGCCCCUUAGGAUUCUCCUGUAUGGACCAGUUGGGGCAGGGAAGUCGUGCUUCAUAAACUCUGUUCAGAAGAGCCUCAUAGGCCGUAAUGUCAUCAAUGCUCAAGAAAGCUCAGCAGCAGCUGGAAUAAGCUUCACUCGUUCAGUGUACUUUCAUGCUAUGAAUCUCCUGUUCUACCACGCCCUAAAGGUGCUCUAUUGAAUUCAGAUCUGGUGACUGGGAAGUCCACUGAAGAACACUGAACUCAUUGUCAUGAUGAUGACACCAGUUUGACCUGGUGACACCAUGCUGGAAGUAGCCAUUAGAACAUGGUAAAGUGUGGCCAUGAAGGGAUGCACACAGUCAACAAUAUUCAAACAGGCUGUGGCGUUCAAGUAACGAUUGAUUGAUAUUUAUAGGCCCAAGGUCUGCCAAGAAACAUUCCCAACACCAUUUCCAUACCCGAAUUACUGACACAAGGCAGAUGGAUUCAUGCUGUUGGUGCCAAAUUCUGACACUACCAUCUAUGUACCUCAGUAGAAAUCAAGGUUCGUCAGAACAGGCUUUGAUUUCCAGUCUCCAGCCAUCCAGUUUUCCUGAGCUUGUGCCCACUGCAGCCUCAGCUUUCUGUUCUUGGCUGACAUGGUCUUCUACUGUUGUAGCCCAUCCACCUCAAGACUUGAUGUACUGUGCAUUCCAAGAUGCUUUUCUGCUCAACACAAUUGUACAGAGUGGUUAUCUAAGUUAGCGCAGCCCUUCUGUCAGCUUGAACCAAUCUGGCCAUUUUCUAUUGAUCUCUUAACCAACAGGGCAUUUCCAUCAGCACUGCACCAUCCUGAGUAAACUCUAGAGAGUGUUGUGUGUGAAAAUCCCAGGAGAUCAGCAGUUACAGAAACUCAAACAGGCCUGUCUGGCAGCUAUAAUCAUGGCACGUUCAAAAUGACUAAGGUCACACUUUUAGGAGUUUUUCCAUUUGAGUCUUGGUUCCUCUCAGUGGUUCUUCUUUAAGUUUUUUAUGAAGUUUCUCCUUUUGAGUCUUCAUUCCUCAUAGCGAUUCUUCCUUAUGCUGUUAGAGAGUUGCUCUUGAUUUCUCACAGAGGUUCUUCUGUAUACUUUCACAUAGUUCCUCUUGGUUCCUCACACUGGUUCCCCUUCAUAUUUUUCUGGAGUUUUUUCCUUUUUCAUUCUUCUUUAUACUCUUAGGGAGUUUCUCCUCUCAGUUACUUUCUUUUUUUUUUGAAGGGCCCCAACCAAGGUUUUCGGGGGGCCCUCAUUCUUACCAGUAGAUGUGCUAUAAAAUUAGAGGCUAACUGAUAACAAUGACUACCACAAACCUCUAAAACCUAAAUUACACAAUUUUGCAUUGUAUUGUUGAUGACUGGAUGCUCGCUUUGGGUUCUAACACGUUUCAGGGUAAAUUACAGAUAACUUUCUCUGCAUUCUUGAUUCAGGGUUCUGUCUCAUCAUGUAUUCAAGUUGGUUUUCCUCACUUUACCAAUUAACUUUAAGUUUAUUUAACCUUGCCAACAGCAUUGCUUUUACCAUUCUAAAUGCUUUACUUUCUACAUAUUUUGGUAGUAUGCCUUCUUUUUCUUUUUUUGUUUCACAGAAAUAGCUGUUCAUCAUAAACAUCAUGCUUUUUUGUGCAUGUACAUGAGGAUUACUCACAGCUUAAGCAUCUAAACCUCAGAGCUGUUGUGAAAAAAGUUAACCUAGGCUUGUUAGGUUUUCCAAAAGUCUAACUAGGUUGAACUUGCUUCAGUAGACAGACCCAAGAUCCUCUACAUAUCACUUAUUAGAUACUGCUCUCAGUGUUUCUUCUUCAUGCUGUUAGGGAGUUUCUCCUUUGGCAAAAUCUGUUGCUAACAAGGUUAUGCCCACACUAAAACCCGGCUGCAAAUUUUUCUAGUCUGUACUCUUUUAACAUCUGGAGUACCUGCAAAACAAACUAGCUAGUGAAACACUGUUUUUCCUUUGCAAGAAGUAAUGUUUAUUUUUACAGCACGUAAUAUGUAAUGCACACACACAACAAACAUACAUGCUUCAUCGAGUUUUUGGGUGUUUUUUCUGUCUGGCUAACUUACAUUACUCCUAUGGGCUAAUGGCAUGCUUGAUGUGUCAAGUCAAAGUUUAUUUAUAUAGCGCUUUUUACAACAGGUGUUUUCCUAAAGCAGCUUUACAGAAAAAUCGGGGUCCAAGCUCCCAUGAGUGUCACCAAUGGUGACAGUGGCAAGGAAAUCUCCCUUAUAGAGGAAGAAACCCUGAGAGGAACAAAGACUCAAAAGGGGAACCAAUCCUCCUCUGUUUGGCACCGGAUAGCAAAACAACGACAAGACAAAUUCUCUCGUUAAUCAAUCAUGUGAGAGGAUACUGGAAUUUCCUAAAUAAAAUACAGAACCAAAACUAAACACUGUUUAAAUACUUACAGAAGACACUGUAAUUGAAAAAGCCAUGUAUCUAUGAGUCAAGGAAUUAGGUAACACUUUAUUUUGAUAGUCCACUUUAGACGCUUUGUAGAUGCUCAAUUUAACUUAUAUCUAAAUGCCUUUUCUAUGCAACUGAACUUGAAGUUGACUUUGAAAGAUUCUAAUAAUUCUAAACCUAAACCUUAAGCUAAACCUGACCCUAACUUCAACACAAAACCUACAUCUGUCCCUUAACCCUAACUAUAAUGUUGUUGAUAAUCAACCGUCACCAUCAAGAUUGAUAAUAAUUUAAGUAUUUGUAGAUAGCAUCAAAAUAAAGUGUGACCCAGAAUUAUUCUAAACCCAAUCAACACAAAACAAGCAUGCAAGGUCUUUACUGACUGCAGCAGAGUCAUUUACUUACUUCCAGUCAAUGUCCCUCCACGGUGUUUCAAAGUCUGUGAAAUAAAGAUAAUACAGUUACAGGGAGGAAUACUAAUACUAAUACUAAUACUAAUUAUUAUGUAUUAAAAUGUUAAUUGCAGUAGGAUUAUAAUAUCAAAGGGAAAACAGACUGGAACAUAAAAAUGUACUGUUAAGUUACAUGUACUCAAUAAAUGAAAAUGAAUUAAAAUGUUUUUAAAUCAUAACAGAAUAGCAGUGGCUCCUAAAAAUGUUACAGUCCAGUAUCCCCUCAGUCAUUAAACAUGCUACAAACCCCAGCUCACUCCUUAUACACAUACACAUGCAUGUUGUAAUGACAUGCAUGUAGGAUGUAUAUCCUUGUAAAAUCAGUCCCCCUUAAUAUGUCAAACAUGUAUGUUGCGUGAUGAUGCAACACAUAAGAUGUAUUCAGUAAUAUUGAAUGAAUAAAUAAUGUUAAUAAUGCUGAUGAGGUCUGUAUUACAGGCGUGGUUCACUCUGGAGUGCUACUCAGAACACAGGGAUGAGGAAGAGGAGUGAAAUUUCUUCAUUUGUAGCAUUAAUCACACAGGCAGUGGUCAAUAUGAGCGACAUACACUACAUGGAGUUCAGGUGUUUCAGCCAUUGCUAAGAAGUGUAUAAAAUAUAUUUUAUAUUAUACACAUAGUCUUGCAAUCUCCAUAGGAAGACCCCAGUGACUUUAAAUGUGGCACUGUUACAGGUUGCCACCUCUGCCACAAGUCAGUUUGUGAAAUUUCUGUCCUGCUAGAUCUGCCCCAGACAACUGUAAGUGCAAUUAUUAUGAAAUGGAAGCAUGUGGAAGCAACAACAGCCCAGCCUUGAAGCACUAGACUGCUGAGUGCUGAAGCAUGUAAAAUUUAGCUGUUAUCCAUUGCAUCACACACUACAGAGUCACAAUUUGCCUCUGGAAGCAACAUCACAAGAACUGUGCAGCGGAAGCCUCAUGAAAUGAGUGUCCACGGCCAACCAGAUGGGCAAAAUCCCAAGAUCACUAUGCACAAUGCCAACCCUCGACUUGAGUGGUGUAAAGGGCUGUCACUGGAUUCUGAAGCAGUGGAAACAUGCUCUCUGGAGUGAUGAAUCACACUUCGGUGUCUGACAGUGUGGUUUGGGUUUCUUCGGUCCAGUGAAGGGUAAUGCUUACUGAUAGCAUGCAAAACAUUUUAGCCCCUUUUAAAUGGGCUAAGUGUGAGUUUGGCUUUUAACACUCUGUGCAUUUAACAUUCUGUAAAAAUGUAUGUAAACAUUACCUCAAUGGUAAGAUGUUAAAAUAAAAUGCCUGCAAAUACA
Long non-coding RNA from Pygocentrus nattereri (red-bellied piranha), 4581 nucleotides. RefSeq lists it as uncharacterized. The transcript has 5 exons. The record is from RefSeq and is a predicted model, not a curated record. Lineage: Eukaryota; Metazoa; Chordata; Actinopteri; Characiformes; Serrasalmidae.